CCUACGGGGGGCUGCAGUGGGGAAUAUUGGACAAUGGGCGCAAGCCUGAUCCAGCCAUGCCGCGUGAGUGAUGAAGGCCUUCGGGUUGUAAAGCUCUUUUGGCGGGGACGAUGAUGACGGUACCCGCAGAAUAAGCCCCGGCAAACUUCGUGCCAGCAGCCGCGGUAAGACGAAGGGGGCAAGCGUUGUUCGGAAUUACUGGGCGUAAAGGGCGCGUAGGCGGCUCUUUAAGUCAGGCGUGAAAGCCCUGGGCUCAACCUGGGAGUGGCGCUUGA
RNAcentral lists this ribosomal RNA (275 nucleotides) under uncultured bacterium. Its description in RNAcentral is "partial 16S ribosomal RNA". It matches the Rfam family "Bacterial small subunit ribosomal RNA", at positions 338 to 630 of the family's 1533-position model. The record is from RNAcentral.